UAUGUCUAUCAAUUCAUUUCCUCAUCUAAAAUAACUUUUGAAUAAGUUUUAUAAUUUGAUAGAACUUUACUUAAAUCAUACUCCCUCCGUUCACGAAAGAACUUCCUAUUUUUCUAUUUCGGGACGUCCACGAAAGAACUUCCUACUUUUUCCUAUUUUGGGACAAUACCCCACCAAAGACAAUUCCCAUCACUCAAAUAACAUUAAUUAAAACAACACAAUAAAUUAUUAAUACUUUUUCACAAUUCUCAAUACACUUUACAACAUUUUCUCCACUCUCAAUACACUAUACAACAUUUUAUUAAAACCCGUGCCACUCCCUCCUAGGAAGUUCUUUCAUGGACGGAGGGAGUAUUCCACUAAAAUAGUAGGAUUGAAAAACUUAAAUAUUGAGAUAAAAAUAUUUAAUUAUAUAUAUUAUUCCCUUUAUCCCAUUUAAUAUGACCCUUUUAGUAUGAUUAAAGGGGUCAUGUUAAAUGGGACGAAGAGUGUAUUAAUCAUGAAAAAUAAACGUCAUUGAACGUGUCCCCCGAAUGAAUGAGCAUAAUUCUCAUUUCCACUUUUGUAGGACUAUUCCACGUGUGCCCCGAAUGAAUGAGCAUGAUAGUCCUUACAUGUUUUCCAUAGGGACAUCAAUACUUGCUUUUGUCAAGGGCAUUUACUUUGCAUGAUUUAUAAGAUGUACGAUUGAGUAUUUUUAUGCUUAAGAGUAGAAUUUCUCCAAUCUCACCCUUUUUUCAUAUGACUAGCAGUAAGAACGUGCGAUGCACGUUUAACACAUGAUUUUCUAUUAUGAAAAUAAAAGGGUAAUUGCCUGUAAAUCUAUAACGUUUGCACGGAAUUGGUUUUUGCUCCUAAUUUCAAAAGUCUACUUUCAAAUACAUAACCUUUCGUUUCUGUCUCAAAUUUAGCCGGUGACCGGUUUUUGCUUACGUCGGCGCCGGAAAUGACACGGUGGCAGCCGAAAUUGACAUGUGCAAAGAAAUUUUUUAAAAAAAGAAAAAAAACCACCUCAUCAUCUUCCCCAACCUCCUCCACUCCAAAACCUAAUUUCCCCAUCUUCCCCAACCCGCCGCCACCAUCGCCGUCGGUCGCCCCCUUCCCCUUCCCAAACCCAUCGGCCCUCCCCCCUCCCUUCCGCCGGUUGCCCCCUCCCCCUCCCCAGAUCUGUCAUUCUCUCUCUAUCUCCCAAAAUCUCAAUUACACCUCUCCGACAACCUCUCGAAAGUCCGACGUUUUCCUCCAUCUUCGACCUAUUGUAGAUAUACAGAACCACCCGCNN
RNAcentral lists this long non-coding RNA (1282 nucleotides) under Salvia miltiorrhiza (redroot sage). RNAcentral's name for it is "long non-coding RNA (SMIL_LNC000842)". Lineage: Eukaryota; Viridiplantae; Streptophyta; Magnoliopsida; Lamiales; Lamiaceae. The record is from RNAcentral.